GAUGAACGCUGGCGGCGUGCCUAAUACAUGCAAGUCGAGCGAACAGAUAAGGAGCUUGCUCCUUUGACGUUAGCGGCGGACGGGUGAGUAACACGUGGGUAACCUACCUAUAAGACUGGGAUAACUUCGGGAAACCGGAGCUAAUACCGGAUAACAUUUGGAACCGCAUGGUUCUAAAGUGAAAGAUGGUUUUGCUAUCACUUAUAGAUGGACCCGCGCCGUAUUAGCUAGUUGGUAAGGUAACGGCUUACCAAGGCGACGAUACGUAGCCGACCUGAGAGGGUGAUCGGCAACACUGGAACUGAGACACGGUCCAGACUCCUACGGGAGGCAGCAGUAGGGAAUCUUCCGCAAUAGGCGAAAGCCUGACGGAGCAACGCCGCGUGAGUGAUGAAGGGUUUCGGCUCGUAAAACUCUGUUAUUAGGGAAGAACAAAUGUGUAAGUAACUGUGCACGUCUUGACGGUACCUAAUCAGAAAGCCACGGCUAACUACGUG
Molecule: ribosomal RNA, 497 nt
Filed under: uncultured bacterium
Lineage: Bacteria
Description: partial 16S ribosomal RNA
Rfam family: Bacterial small subunit ribosomal RNA
Source: RNAcentral